Molecule: ribosomal RNA, 460 nt
Filed under: uncultured bacterium
Lineage: Bacteria
Description: partial 16S ribosomal RNA
Rfam family: Bacterial small subunit ribosomal RNA
Source: RNAcentral
CCUACGGGAGGCUGCAGUGAGGAAUAUUGGUCAAUGGACGGAAGUCUGAACCAGCCAUGCCGCGUGCAGGAAGACGGCUCUAUGAGUUGUAAACUGCUUUUGUACAAGGGUAAACCUGAAUACGUGUAUUCAGCUGAAAGUACUGUACGAAUAAGGAUCGGCUAACUCCGUGCCAGCAGACGCGGUAAUACGGAGGAUCCAAGCGUUAUCCGGAUUUAUUGGGUUUAAAGGGUGCGGAGGCGGAUUGAUAAGUUAGAGGGUAAAUGUCCGAGCUUAACUCGGGAACUGCCGCUAAUACUGUUGAUCUAGAGAGUAGAUGCGGUAGGCGGAAUGUAUGGUGUAGCGGUGAAAUGCUUAGAGAUCAUACAGAACACCGAUUGCGAAGGCAGCUCACCAAUCUAUAUCUGACGUUGAGGCACGAAAGCGUGGGGAGCAAACAGGAUUAGAUACCCUGGUAGUC